This 1072-nucleotide long non-coding RNA is filed under the name Homo sapiens (human). RNAcentral's name for it is "HSALNT0065507". The record is from RNAcentral. Lineage: Eukaryota; Metazoa; Chordata; Mammalia; Primates; Hominidae.
UUUGUUUCCUUCCCCAGGUUCCUAGCAAAACUGUAUCCUUGAACCCCACCUCAAGAUGGCGCCCCAACCCUAGCCACCGCUCACUUUCUCCUUGGCUGCCUGGCGGGUCUUCUCAUCCAUCCAAACCAGCUGUCCCAGGGCCUCCUCAAAUGCGGUCCGGAUUUCGCUGAUCAUCCCCUCUGCCUGGGAGGGAGGAGGUAAAGUCAGCCUUCCCCUGCACUGAAUGCAUCCCUGCCCCACCCAUCCACCCUUGGUGCCCCAUCCCUGUCCACCCAGGGGAAAUGGGAACGUCUAGACUAAAGAAAUACGGCUGAGCACCUGGAGACGAUGAGAAGGAAACACCAUUUGUAAAGAGUCUGGCUGUGUUACCUAGGAUGGAGUGCAGUGGCGCAAUCUCGGCUCACUGCAACCUCCGCCUCCCGAGUUCAAGCGAUUCUCCUGCCUCAGCCUCCCAAGUAGCUAGGAUUACAGGCUCCCGCCAUCAUGCCCGGGUAAUUUUUGUAUUUUUAGUAGAGCUGGGGUUUCACCAUCUUGGCCAGGUUGGUCUUGAACUCCUGACCACGUGAUCCACCCGCCUCAGCCUCCCAAAGUGCUGGGAUUACAAGCGUGAACCACCACGCCCAGCCUAGUGCAAUGAUUUUUAUCUGAUUAUGAAAAGAGGACAUUCACAGAAAAUUUGGAAAAUUGAGAAUUGAAGAACAGACCAGUUAUAAAGCACUCAUUCAUAGAUAAGUUCUUUUAACAUUUUGAUUACCCACUUCUAGAGUUUUUCCCUCCCCUGAUAUGCAUAUAAAAUAUGGAAUUAUGUUGUAUAGGGUAUAUAUUUUUUGUAACCUACUUUUUUUGCUGAAAGAUAUAUCAGCCAUUUAAGGAUCCUCACAACCCAUCCUAACCACAAUUUAUUUUUCCUUUACCCUAUAGUUGGACAUUUAACCUGUUCUCAUUUUCUGCUAUUAUAAACAACAUUGCCAUAAAAACCAUAAACAUCCUUACAGGUAAUACUUUAAGCACAUCCAUUAUCAUAUCCUAAUAAAUAAAUAUUUCUUCUAGUUAUAUAGUUAAACAUAAACAC